AUGUCGGUCGUCGCCGCUGCCGCCUCCACUCAUCCCAGCGCCACCGCCGACGGGUCCCCGCCGCAGAUGGCGACGACGCGUCUCGAGCGCGGGUCCCUGCUGGUCGGCGGCCGCGAGCUCAUCUCCCAAUGCCCGCCCGAGGUCACCCUACGCGCGGGCGUCGCCCUCGCCGCUCCGGGCGCCGCGUUCCUCGGCGCCCGGGCAGCGGCGCCGUCCAGCCGUCACGUCUUCUCCCUCGGCACCAUCCCCAAAGGAUGGAGAUGGCUGUCGCUGUUCAAGUUGAAGAUCUGGUGGAUGGCCCCGAAGACGGGCGCGGAGGCGGCGGGCGUGCCGGCGGAGACGCAGAUGCUGCUUCUGGAGAAGACGGGGAAUGGGGCCGAGGACACGGUGUACGCUCUGAUGCUGCCAGCCCUCGAUGGGGAUUUCCGGGCCAGCCUCCAAGGGUGUCCCGAGAAUGAGCUCCAAUUCUGCUUCGAGAGUGGUGAUCCUGAUGUGCAGACGAAGGAUGCUGUUGAUGCGGUAUUCGUCAACUCAGGGGACAAUCCUUUCAAGCUUAUGAAGGAAUCAAUCAAGAUACUGUCCAAGAUCAAAGGAACUUUCAGUCAUAUUGAGAGCAAGGAGACCCCUGCAAACUUAGACUGGUUUGGAUGGUGCACUUGGGAUGCAUUUUAUAAAGCUGUCAACCCAGUAGGGAUUGAAGAGGGCCUUCAAAGUUUGCGUGAAGGAGGCGCACCACCAAGGUUUCUGAUUAUAGAUGAUGGUUGGCAAGAAAUAGUUAACGAAUUCAAGGAAGUGAAUGGAGCUCUUCUUGAAGAGACUGUGUUUGCAGAGAGGCUGGUUGAUCUGAAGGAGAAUGACAAGUUUAGGGGAGAAGCCUGCAAGAAUCUGGGAGAUCUUGUCAAGAAAAUCAAAGAGACACAUGGAGUCAAGUACGUCUACGCAUGGCAUGCUUUACUUGGGUAUUGGGGAGGUGUCUGCACAUCAUCGGACGUGAUGGAGAAUUACAAUCCAAAACUAGUUUACCCCGUCCAGUCUCCUGGUGAUGUUGCAAAUUUGAGGGAUGUAGCCAUGGACAGCUUGGAGAAAUAUGGAGUUGGUAUCAUUGAUCCUGAGAAGAUAUAUGAAUUCUACAAUGAUCAGCACAGUUACCUUUCUAGUGUGGGUGUGGAUGGUGUGAAGGUAGAUGUGCAAAGUGUGAUGGAGACUCUCGGGCAUGGCUUCGGUGGUCGUGUUGCAUUAACUCGAAAGUAUCAACAUGCUCUUGAGGAAUCUAUUGCUCGGAACUUCAAAGGAAAUAACCUAAUAUGCUGCAUGAGUCACAGUUCAGACCACAUCUAUAGUGCCUUGAAGAGUGCAGUUGCUAGAGCAUCAGAAGAUUUCAUGCCUCGGGAGCCAACACUGCAAACUCUGCACAUUGCUAAUGUAGCAUUCAAUAGCCUUUUAUUGGGAGAAAUUUUCAUCCCGGAUUGGGAUAUGUUCCAAAGCAAGCAUGAAACAGCGGAAUUUCAUGGAGCGGCUAGGGCUCUAAGUGGAGGUGGUGUUUAUGUCAGUGACAAACCAGGAGUGCACGAUUUCACUGUUCUGAAAAAGCUCGUUCUACCAGAUGGCUCGAUUCUAAGAGCAAGGUAUGCUGGUCGUCCUACUCGCGAUUGCCUGUUCAAUGAUCCAGUCAUGGAUGGCAAAAGUCUUCUGAAAAUAUGGAACCUGAACAAUUUGUCUGCUGUCGUCGGAGUAUUCAAUUGUCAGGGAGCUGGAAACUGGACUUGGUUAGUCGAAGAAAUUUCACAUGUUCCCACCGCCGUUAACAUAACGGGUCAUCUCUCGCCAUCAGAUGUAGAGUCUCUCGAGGAGAUUACUGGUGAUGAGUGGAAUGGAGAGACUGCAGUAUAUGCUUUCAAUUCAUGUUCUCUUUCAAGGCUCCAGAAGCACCAAAGUUUGGAGCUUUCAUUGGUCACUAUGACAUGUGAGAUCUAUACCAUAUCACCGAUACAGUCAUUUCUGCACCAGGUUUACGGUGGGGCUGUUCGGUUCGCGCCGCUUGGACUGCUCAACAUGUUCAACUCCGGUGGCGCACUCGACAGUAUCACAGGCACAGUUGAUUCUUCAGCUACGACAGUUCAGAUCAAAUGCCGAGGGCCAGGACGUUUUGGGGCGUAUUCAUCUGCUAGACCGGCACUCUGUAGAGUUGAUGCGCAUGAAGUAGAGUUCAGUCAUUCUGAUGAUGGCUUGCUAGCAUUUGAUCUCUCAGAUGGAUCUUCCCACAGCAGCCUCUGGAACAUAGAGAUUCUCUACACAGCCUCCUGA
Molecule: ribosomal RNA, 2304 nt
Filed under: Triticum aestivum (bread wheat)
Lineage: Eukaryota; Viridiplantae; Streptophyta; Magnoliopsida; Poales; Poaceae
Description: partial small subunit ribosomal RNA
Source: RNAcentral